RNAcentral lists this ribosomal RNA (767 nucleotides) under uncultured bacterium. RNAcentral's name for it is "bacterial SSU rRNA". It matches the Rfam family "Bacterial small subunit ribosomal RNA", at positions 66 to 827 of the family's 1533-position model. The record is from RNAcentral.
GGCAGCACGAUGUAGCAAUACAUUGGUGGCGACCGGCGCACGGGUGAGUAACGCGUAUGCAACCUACCUAUCAGAGGGGAAUAACCCGGCGAAAGUCGGACUAAUACCGCAUAAAACAGGGGUUCCACAUGGAAAUAUUUGUUAAAGAAUUAUCGCUGAUAGAUGGGCAUGCGUUCCAUUAGAUAGUUGGUGAGGUAACGGCUCACCAAGUCCACGAUGGAUAGGGGUUCUGAGAGGAAGGUCCCCCACACUGGUACUGAGACACGGACCAGACUCCUACGGGAGGCAGCAGUGAGGAAUAUUGGUCAAUGGGCGAGAGCCUGAACCAGCCAAGUCGCGUGAAGGAUGAAGGAUCUAUGGUUUGUAAACUUCUUUUAUAUGGGAAUAAAGUGAGGAACGUGUUCCUUUUUGUAUGUACCAUAUGAAUAAGCAUCGGCUAACUCCGUGCCAGCAGCCGCGGUAAUACGGAGGAUGCGAGCGUUAUCCGGAUUUAUUGGGUUUAAAGGGUGCGUAGGUGGUUAAUUAAGUCAGCGGUGAAAGUUUGUGGCUCAACCAUAAAAUUGCCGUUGAAACUGGUUGACUUGAGUAUAUUUGAGGUAGGCGGAAUGCGUGGUGUAGCGGUGAAAUGCAUAGAUAUCACGCAGAACUCCGAUUGCGAAGGCAGCUUACUAAACUAUAACUGACACUGAAGCACGAAAGCGUGGGGAUCAAACAGGAUUAGAUACCCUGGUAGUCCACGCAGUAAACGAUGAUUACUAGCUGUUUGC